GUAGAGUGGCGAACGGGUUAGUAACGCGUGGGAACAUACACAGCACAGGGGGAUAACCAUUGGAAACGAUGGCUAAUACCGCAUACGCCCUAUUGGGGAAAGAUUUAUCGGUGUUGGAUUGGCCCGCGUUAGAUUAGCUAGUUGGUGGGGUAAUGGCUCACCAAGGCGGCGAUUUAUAGCUGGUUUGAGAGGAUGAUCAGCAACACUGGAACUGAGACACGGUCCAGACUCCUACGGGAGGCAGCAGUCGGGAAUAUUGUGCAAUGGGGGCAACCCUGACACAGCCAUGCCGCGUGAGUGAAGAAGGCCUUAGGGUUGUAAAGCUCUUUCAGAUGUGAGGAUGAUGACGAUAGCAUCAGAAGAAGCUCCGGCUAACUUCGUGCCAGCAGCCGCGGUAAUACGAAGGGAGCUAGCGUUGUUCGGAAUUACUGGGCGUAAAGGGCGUGUAGGCGGAUUAUCAAGUUAGGGGUGAAAUCCCGGGGCUCAACCUCGGCACUGCCUUUAAGACUGAUAAUCUAGAGUAUGUGAGGGGAUAAUGGAA
Molecule: ribosomal RNA, 541 nt
Filed under: uncultured bacterium
Lineage: Bacteria
Description: bacterial SSU rRNA
Rfam family: Bacterial small subunit ribosomal RNA
Source: RNAcentral